Molecule: long non-coding RNA, 2060 nt
Filed under: Canis lupus familiaris (dog)
Lineage: Eukaryota; Metazoa; Chordata; Mammalia; Carnivora; Canidae
Description: lncRNA (ENSCAFG00030022334.1)
Source: RNAcentral
CUCUCCCUUCACUUCUCCUAGUUUAUAGGGCAUGACGCAUAUUUAUUUUUUCAAAACUUUGUGUUUACGCAUGUUACGAAGUAUUAAGUUAUGAAGUAUAACCUCCUUUCAGGAGAUCCUUGAAGUCCUUGAUAUGAAGAGGUGGCCUCUGCUGGGAUAAGCCUCACCUCCCAGGGACGCCUCUAGCCUCCUCUUGCCCAGCCCCCAGCAGGGCAGCCCCAGGAGACCCCUGCCUCCCUGGCCUCUGUUUGUUCCCAUCCUUUCUGUCUUAAACCUGGAGCACGGUUUUUGAACUCAUAAAAUCCCAAAGGCGUGCAAAUUCUCUGGCUCCCCUUGCACAACCUCCCUAAAGCCCCCUCCUGCCCUCCCCAGUUCAGAGGAGGGAGGGUCCCCAGGCUCACAGAAGCCAGGAUAACAGGACCUUGGCUCGCACCGGCCCCAUCACUCUGCACCUGUGCUUCCCGUUCAGGGGCUCUGUUCCCUCUUCCCCCAAACAAUCCAUUUCUCCCCAGUAUCCCCACAGCUGCUGAGGCCCAGUGGGGAAAACCCUGGUGUCAUGCGCCCCUGGCCCACCCUGCCGAGCCUGAGCCCACCCAAGCACCCUGCUGGAGGACCCAGAGGCAGGCGCCUGGGAAGGGCUCGUUCCAAGACCGGACCCGGGUGUCAAGGUGCGGGCCCCGAGGACCAGGAUCCCCGCAGGUGUCGGCAGCUCUCCCUCACCGCCGCGUUUACAAACCCACCUCCAGUCUCUGUCCCUGAAGGGGACACUUCAUGUUUGCCAAAUGUCAAAGUUCUUCCUCAUUCUCCUUUUCCUGUGUUUGAGCAGAACCCAUGCCCUCCACCUCCUCACCCCCAGAGGUGUCCUCUGUGCCGGGGGGAAGAACCAGACUGCGGGAAAGGAGGGUCUGGGGGAGCACAGGGUGCCCUGCCCCCUACAAACGAUAAGAGAGCAGUGACGCUCCUUUAAGGAAGGCUCAGUGCUGCGGGGCCGCCCUGAUCCACACAUUGCACCCCACGGAGCCCCACAGCAGCCCUGCGAGGUAUGGAUCAUAAGUGAGAAGGGGAGGCCCAGCGCCCAAGGUCACAGCAGAGAGGGGGACAGGAGCCCAGAGUCUGGCUCCGGGGUCUGCACGCACUCCCCAGCUCUCAGGCUAGAGGAGGGCGUUCCUUCCUGGGUGGGGUGGCCUCUGGGGGAAGCGGGGAAAGAGGCAGGUGGCUCCAGGGCCCUCAGUAAGUAGUUGUGGCUGCUUUGCAUCUUCCAGAGACAGCUAGAGGCAGCUCCACCUAACCUGCAGGCUGCAGAAGGUUCUAGAGGGCACCCCAAAUGUCCUGGGAGCCCCCAGGGGAAGCCAGAGGGACAAGAUGAGCAGGUGUUUGGGGGAGGCUUGCGGAAGUCCACACCACCCACCCCUGCCAUCUGGGACCCACUGAGAAGCCCCCCUCAGGGCUAGCCAAGAGGAGUCACCCCCUGGUGGAAGCCAGGACCCCAGCAAGCCCCCAGCUCACGGGACUGGACACCCUGGUCCCAAUUUACCUGCAGGGGCCUGGGAGGGGGAGGCUGCAAGUUCAACAAUAGAGAUCCCAAGGGCAGCAGGAGGGAUCUGGAGAGGGACGGGGCUCCCUGUGGCAGGGCAGGGCGGGUUGGGCUGCAGGGGUGUGGUGUUGGGCUCCCCCCACCCCACCCCCUUACCACCGUCCCAUGGCGGUGCCACCCGCCAGGGGCACCGCGGCAGGUGCCCAGCGAGGCGGGUAGAGGCACGACUGACUGAGCACCUGGCAGGGACAUCCCGGCAGGUGUCAGACCCCGACUGAGCACCUGGCAUUUGCUAACUCUCCGAACGCUCCUCCACGAGCCCACGGAAUCGGGGUUGGGGGGGUGGAUUGGUCACCACCCCCACUUUCGGAGGAGGAAACAGCACAUAGUAUCUCGGUCGGGAAUUUGCAGCCGGCAAGGCUGGCCUGUGGGGCCGCACAGGGCCCGAGCCCUUGUGGAAGAGCGAGGUUGGGUUAGGGCGCCUGCCACAGCCGGGCCACCCCGUCUGCUUCCCGUGCCCGGCCGC